This 247-nucleotide ribosomal RNA is filed under the name uncultured bacterium. RNAcentral's name for it is "partial small subunit ribosomal RNA". It matches the Rfam family "Bacterial small subunit ribosomal RNA", at positions 26 to 278 of the family's 1533-position model. The record is from RNAcentral.
AGGACGAACGCUGGCGGCGUGCUUAACACAUGCAAGUCGAGCGGAAAGGCCCUUCGGGGUACUCGAGCGGCGAACGGGUGAGUAACACGUGAGUAAUCUGCCCCUAGCUCUGGGAUAGCUCCGGGAAAACCGGGAUUAAUACCGGAUACGACCACCUUAGACAUCUUUUGUGGUGGAAAGAAUUUCGGCUAGGGAUGAGCUCGCGGCCUAUCAGCUUGUUGGUGGGUAACGGCCUACCAAGGCGACG